Non-coding RNA from Salinisphaera hydrothermalis C41B8, 28 nucleotides. The record is from Rfam. NCBI's taxonomy places the organism in Bacteria, Pseudomonadati, Pseudomonadota, Gammaproteobacteria, Salinisphaerales, Salinisphaeraceae.
GUUCGCUGCCGCAUAGGCAGCUCAGAAA